UGGACGGCGACGACGAUGGCAAAGGGGAGAGUGACGCUUGGGAGAGAGAAGACCGAUAGAGAGACAGCGCCAAAUGAUAGUGAAAACAAAGGACCAAAAAAAUUAGGGAUUUAGAGGGUGGGAAUUUGGGAGCGAGAGCGACGCUUUGUUACAUCCCUCUCCUUUAUUUUGUUUGGCAAGACACAGAGAGUCGAGAAGAGUGGGUUGGUGUUUGGGAAUUGGGGGUGGAGAACG
RNAcentral lists this unclassified non-coding RNA (234 nucleotides) under Hevea brasiliensis (rubber tree). The record is from RNAcentral. Lineage: Eukaryota; Viridiplantae; Streptophyta; Magnoliopsida; Malpighiales; Euphorbiaceae.